This is a small nuclear RNA of Myotis lucifugus (little brown bat), 106 nucleotides long. The record is from Ensembl. NCBI's taxonomy places the organism in Eukaryota, Metazoa, Chordata, Mammalia, Chiroptera, Vespertilionidae.
GUGCUUGCUUUGGCAGCACAUACACUAAAAUUGGAAUGAUAUAGAGAAGAUUACAUAGCCCCUGCACAAGGGUGACAUGCAAAUUCAUGAAGCAUUCCUUUAAAAA